GAUCCAGAGCUGCUACUGAUACAGCACACACAGCUCUGCAUAAAAGGCAGCUUCUCCCUCACUCUGUUCCACCCCUGCACCACAAAGAGAAGAGGAGGAAAGCAACCAGAAGAAGCUGGAGAAGAGCAGAGUCAUUUCUGCAUUAGUGCACUGAGCAGACAUGGAGACCUGCAGAACUAUAAAUACAGUUCACUGUUUAUUUCAGUGGUCUGUGUGGAGAACAUACUUCCUGCCCAGCGGAAGGAAACAUUUGCUAGAAGACAUUACACUCCUGUGUUGGGCAUGUGAGAUAUAGACUGCUUUUUGACAAGAGAUUUCUUGUAGAUGACCACAAAGACCAGUGGUGUUUUAUUGAAUGGUGCUUUGCUGUAGCUGAAAGACACUGGCAGCCAGCAGUUCAGUUGGUGAGGAACAUGUCCAUUAUGAACCUCAGAGCAGUGGGAGGAGUUAAGACACAAGGAAAAGAUUCAAGGAAAUCAGACCACAACGCACAAGUAGGUGUGGUGUGAUGCUGAGAGGUUGAAGUAUGGCCAACAACUCAAGUUCCAGUCCCAGUGAAGGACACAAGAACAGCUAAGGCAACUGAAGCAUUUCUAAUAAAGCUGACUGAGAUGCUCCAGGAGGUCAUGGAGACACAACCGUCCAGGAAUGAACAGGUGGAGCGAGAAGCCAUCAGUCAGGAGUAGUGGUGGAGGAGCCUACAGCACUAGGUCCAACAGGUGGACCAGCAAGGAUGGCCUUAAGAGGGUUUGAACAGGAGAAGAAGAGGAGUAGAGAGCACUGCCAGACUUUAGAGAGCCCACACUGUAUCCCUUGAUUCCAAAAGAGAACAUUGAGCACUUUGUGGCAACCAUCAAAUGGAUUGCAAAGUUCUGCCACUGACGCAAAGAGGACUGGGCAAUUCAGUUAGUUCCCCUGCUUACCAGUAAAACCUGAAGUUCAUAUGUGGCCAAGGACAGUGAGUAUGCUGAGGACUAUGAGAACAUCAAAACUACUAUUCUUGCUAAGUAUGAAAUAAUGCAGGAGAUUUACUGCCAGAGGUUUUUUUGGACUGGAAGUCUAUCCUGGGGAGACACCAUGUGAAUUGUAUGUCUACCGGAAGAAGUUAUUCUCCAAAUGGGUCAGACCUAAACAGAAGUUAGCAAAGGAAAUAUAUGAGAUGAUGAUCCUGGGGCAAUUUACACAGAUAGUGAACGCAGAGAUGAAGGUGUGGAUCAAGGAUGGAAACACCAAGACUGCAGAGGAGGCAGCACAGUUGUAUGAAGUCUUCAUCUGUGCCAGAAGGAGUUGAGGACUCUGUGGCUUCAGCCGUGACCACUCCAACUAGUUUCUACAGGCAUCUACAGGAUUCUCUCCCUUCAUGUUGCGCUAUGGACAUAACACAUCUUUUGCAGUGGACCAUCACUUAGCUAGGUCUUCUUUUUCUUAUGAUGACAUGUACCCCACUACCACCUCAGAGACAUCCACCUGGAUGACAAAUGACAAUGAGAC
Molecule: long non-coding RNA, 1491 nt
Organism: Pygocentrus nattereri (red-bellied piranha)
Lineage: Eukaryota; Metazoa; Chordata; Actinopteri; Characiformes; Serrasalmidae
Exons: 7
Source: RefSeq, a predicted model, not a curated record